CACUUCCACUGUUCUUCUUUCCUUAUAUCUCAACACUCAGAACUCUUUUGACAUUAGCCCAUGGGGACUUGUGGUUGUGAACCGUGUAUGGGAAGUCGCUGGGCCCCAGUCAAGGAGACAGACUUGAGUCUCUUUGCCCUAACUUUUACAUAUGGUCAACUUAAAAUAAAAAGUCCACUCUGGAAUCAAGAAUGGAAUUCGAUUCCACUGGUCAACUUGGAAAGUGUAGGGGCUCUCAAGGCUAUUUCCCUAGCCGAACCGUGUCCCAUUGAGAACCCUGUAAACCCUUUUGGAGAACCUGGUGUUCAUUCACAUCACUGGCAGUUUCCUGAAUAUUGAUAUGUGCAAGGGCAGGGGGCCAGUCAUUAUUGUGAGACAGAAUUACAUAAGGCUCGAUCCCAAAGAGCCUAACUUGCCUGCUUGGGUCCCCAGAUUUCAAGGACCUUUGACCAGGGAACAACAGAAAGUACUUAUAGGCCAUGGGUUUCCAGUUCUGUUUUCAAGUGGUUUGUUAAUGUUUUGGGUUUUUUGUUUUUUUGUUUUUUUUUUGUUUUUGUUUGGGGGGAGGGUGUCUUUUGUUUUUGUUUUGUGGCCCAGAGUGUGGUUAUAUAGAACAUACAUCUCCUGGUUGGAACAUGCAUGCAUGUAUGUGCAUGUGUGUGCCCACAAAGCUCUUCUGUAAAUGGAAGGGUACUACAUCAAGGCCAAGGUGAGCUUUUGGCUGGGGCAACUGCUGCAGUCUCUGUGUUCUUGUUUGAAGAUUUGUCCUUGGAGGAGCAUCUGGUUAGAGGGAGAUGUUCUCUGAGAAUGUAGUGUCCCAGAAGUGAACAAGGGCGAUUGGCAAGCUUACCUUUCUUUUCUACCAAUAAUCCUCUCACAAGAACCCCCAUCCUCAUUUCCUCAAACACUCAGGUGCUUUCAGAUUUCAGUCUCGGGCAGUGGACAUAGGGAAUUUAUGGCAAGCUCUGAGCAAGACAUACCACCUUCAAGGUGAGUGUCAGAUUCCAAGGAAAUUCUUUCCUGGUCUUGUGCCCUCCUACCUGAGGGGAGGAGAGAAUUCCUACCUGAAAAGAGAGGGCCCUCUCCACUUCCCUGCAAAUGACUGCUCUCUGUAAUAGAGACCACAUGCCUGGUAACUUAGCUCAGUGGCAAGCCAAAACCCUUCCCCAAGACUGGAGAGACGUGAUGUUUGGAGCAAUGUCCAAUCUAAGCAAUGACUCCUCAUAACUGCUGAUUAUCUGUUACUGCUGCCUGAGCUGGGGCCCAAGGGCUGGGAAUCUGUUGGUGCUACCUUGCCCUACCAUUUCCCCAGCUCACAAACUGCCAACAGGAAGUGCUGUUUGGCUAGUUGUACCACACUCACCUGCCCUUUGUUCUCAGAUCAUGUGUUUGUUUACCUGUCAGCUUUGCCAACUCAGCAUCUUUAGCAAACAGACAGCAUCUUUUGGCCUUUCUGACUCAGUUACAGCUUUUACACCCUCAACAGGAGUCUGUAUAUUCCCCAGUUUCCUUCUCCCUAAGUUCCUGUUGAGGUUAGCUUCCAUCUCUUCUUGAGGAAAGAACAGUGGUUAUAUUAGCAUUUGCGCUUUAUAUAAAAAUUGAAAGUAGGAUCUGCUUUUAUUUCCCAAAGCCUGUCUGUGGAAUUGAGACCCUUGAACUCAGGCAGAGGGAUGAGGCUGGGGCAGGGCUGCCCCAAGUUUGGGGGCCUAAUCCCUGCACUUCCCUGAAACCUCAGAAUCUCCCCUCUGAAUACACCUGCCUAGUUCUCUCCCCUUUCAUCCUCUCUUCCCACAUCGUCAGAGUGAAAAAAAGCUCUUUGUUUUAAAGGAAGAGAAAAAGCGUCUUAUUUUCUUUUUAAAAAAUUUUAAACCAUGAAGAAAAUAUUUUUAAAGAAAUUCACCCAGGACAUUAAAGUUCACUAUAUUACC
RNAcentral lists this long non-coding RNA (1928 nucleotides) under Mus musculus (house mouse). RNAcentral's name for it is "long non-coding RNA chr13:55313827-55315755". Lineage: Eukaryota; Metazoa; Chordata; Mammalia; Rodentia; Muridae. The record is from RNAcentral.